This 760-nucleotide ribosomal RNA is filed under the name uncultured bacterium. RNAcentral describes it as "partial 16S ribosomal RNA". The record is from RNAcentral.
ACGCUUUCGUCCUCAGCGUCAGUAUAUUGUUAGUAAUCUGCCUUCGCAAUCGGUAUUCUGUGUAAUAUCUAUGCAUUUCACCGCUACACUACACAUUCUAACUACUUCACAAUAACUCAAGUCUUUCAGUUUCAAAGGCAAUGCUACAGUUGAGCUGCAGGAUUUCACCUCUGACUUAAAAGACCGCCUACGGACCCUUUAAACCCAAUGAUUCCGGAUAACGCUUGGAUCCUCCGUAUUACCGCGGCUGCUGGCACGGAGUUAGCCGAUCCUUAUUCGUACAGUACCGUCAAAUGCCUACACGUAGGCACAAUUCUUCCUGUAUAAAAGCAGUUUACAACCCAUAGGGCAGUCAUCCUGCACGCGGCAUGGCUGGAUCAGAGUUGCCUCCAUUGUCCAAUAUUCCUCACUGCUGCCUCCCGUAGGAGUCUGGUCCGUGUCUCAGUACCAGUGUGGGGGAUCUCCCUCUCAGGACCCCUACCUAUCGAAGUCUUGGUAAGCCGUUACCUUACCAACUAACUAAUAGGACGCAUGCCCAUCUUCUACCGCCGGAGCUUUCUUCAAAAAUCUAUGUGGAUUAAUGAUCGUAUGGGGUAUUAUUCAACAUUUCUAUUGACUAUCCCCCUGUAGAAGGUAGGUUGCAUACGCGUUACUCACCCGUGCGCCGGUCGUCAGCGGAUUGCAAGCAAUCCCUGUUACCCCUCGACUUGCAUGUGUUAAGCCUGCCGCUAGCGUUCAUCCUGAGCCAGGAUCAAACUCU